Long non-coding RNA from Cyprinus carpio (common carp), 1574 nucleotides. The record is from Ensembl. NCBI's taxonomy places the organism in Eukaryota, Metazoa, Chordata, Actinopteri, Cypriniformes, Cyprinidae.
AAUAUGGAGGUUCUUGUGUUCAAGCUAGUGUGUUUAGUUGUGCGUUUUUGCUAUUCUGCUAAUAGGGAAAGUAUUUUAAAUGAAAUGACUCAAAAUGACGACUGAAUCUGUUGUAUUAAAUCCAAAAGUGUCAUGGAAUGAGACAAAAUAAUAUUCAACUUAUUGCUCUGGUUAUAUUAUAGGAGAUCCCUGGGAGACAGCUGAUAAAGAAGAAGUGGAGAUACACAUCCCCUCAUACCCCCUACUUUGUAUCCUAAAGAGGUCAUGUUGCACUGGGUCAUUUAGAGGAGCACAAAGGCCCUUGACCUGCAGCUGUGCAUGGUCAUGCGUGAGGCUGGAGAAGAAGACAGCAAUUACAGAGCUGGAAAACGAGUGCACUUGCCGCCUGCACCUCAGAUUUGUGCAACAGCAGUGGCUUCUCAGGGAGGCAUUAGCCCUGCUACAGUCGUCUCGUGGGGAGAUGACGACUGUUAAGAACCAGUUAACUCACUUCCUGGAGACCUGGGAAAACAGCAAAGCACUGAUGCAGCAGAGUUGCAUCAGCGCUGAUACAGAGUGUGCUUGUCUGAAGCAGGAAGUGGACAGGUUACAGAUGGACCUGAAGAGGCUGCAGGUGGAGGGGCCAAACCUGAAGUCAUGUCUUGAUGCUGCAAAAGAACAGAUGCUGCAGUUGGAGAACCGGUCCAGACCCAGAAACUACUGCAGAACCAAAACCAAGAAGCCCAGUUUCUCUUACAGUGUUUGUAUUCUCAGAGUUUAAAGGUGAAGUGUGUCAUUUUUGCUAUUAGCAGCAAACAGAAUUGCAUUAAUAAUAAUAAUAUAUUUUCAAUGCUCAGGAGGUCACCCAUCCAAAUGCCCAGCAGUUUUUGUGUUCAUUUUCUCUGUCCUCCAUUGUUUGUCCGGCAGGUGUUUUGGAGUUGCAGUCUCACACCUUGUCAGUAUCCAGACAUUUUCAGUUCUUGUCUGCAUAUGUUUGUGUGGUGUUUAGUGUGUGUAUUGUGAUGUUUUUCUUAGGCAGGUUUUUAGGGUUAAACACAGCUUAAUGUUUAAAGCAAGAAACAUCACAAAUGAUUAACAAAUUAUUCAGUUAUUUAAAUGGAGACUAGAUUGAGACUUUUGUGAAAAAAACGAUAUCCUGCUAGAGUUUUGGACUAGAUCUCAACAAUUUCUCAAACUACUGUAUGCUCAGAUUUGCAAAAGAUUUGCAAAAUUUUGAAAAGUUUGUGGUCUGUGCGAUUAUUAUUAUUAUUUUUUAAUAAUAUUAUUAUUUUUUUUCUUUGUAACAGUAAUAACAGUAAUAUUGUUAAAUUAGUAAUACUGUGAAAUAUCUUUACAAUUUAAAAUAAUUGUUCUGUUCUACUCAAAUAUAUUUAAAAAUAUAAUUUAUUCCUGUGAUGGCAAUGCUGAAUUUACAGUGGCCAUUAUAUGCUGGUGUCACAUGAUCCCUUCAGAACUCAUUCUAAUAUGCCAAGUUUGUGCUUAAGAAACAUUUCUUAUUAUUAUCCAUGUUGAAAUUUGUUCUGCUGCUUAAUAUUUUUAAGGUUUCUUAAAUAAAUAGAAAUAUUAAAAGAACA